This 4174-nucleotide long non-coding RNA is filed under the name Sus scrofa (pig). RNAcentral's name for it is "lncRNA (ENSSSCG00040073596.1)". Lineage: Eukaryota; Metazoa; Chordata; Mammalia; Artiodactyla; Suidae. The record is from RNAcentral.
UUUGCGAGAAGCCCCUUUUAUUUCCAUGCGGCCACGGCUACCUCACGUCUUUCCUCAAGUGGCACUUGUCCAGUGAGGGCUUUCCUGAGCACCCUUCUUAACUUUCAACACCCCUCUGCUCCUUUCUGUCCCCUUCCUCUACUUUAUUAUUCCUUAACAUUUAGCGUAAUCAAACAGGCUGUAUUUUAUUUACUGAUUCACUCCUUGUCUCCUCCCUCCUGCUAGAAUAGAAGUUCCACAGAACCAGAGGUCUUUAUUCCUUUUUUUUUUUUUUUUUACCCCUCAAGGCUGAAACGCAUAGGUUGCUUUAUGAUAGAGCCUCAUAAAUAUUUGUUAAACAAGAAUGACUAUUUCUUGCUCUGGGCAUUCUUGUGGCUUCAAGUUACUAUAAAUCUGUUUGCCACAAAGCACUCAUAAAACUAAUUAUUUUAUUUCAUGUUUUCUAUUAAGUAUAUUUACUAUAUAUGUCACGUUGAUUUAAGACCAUAAUAAUAGGAAAGGCAGACAGAAUGCAAAUGAGAAGAGUUCCUCCAGCUUUUUAUACAGGAUCAUUCCAGUGAGUCGCAUUCAUGGUUCAGCUCUCUCUAUACAUUUGGAAAUACACUGGCUUAUUUAUGUGUGUAUCCCGCCUUCUUGCAAAAACAAAAAAGAUGGAAAGGGGGUGGUUGGAAAUGUGAUGAUGUAAGGGUGUUGUAACCUAACACGCUGUUUCAAACGCUGGCCGAUUUGAAUAGACUGUACGUUAUGUAGGUUAGUAAUCUCAUUUGCAAGAGGCACUGAUCGGUGCCUUUUCUUGUGCAGUUUGCAUUAUUCCAUGCCAAAGCUUUUGCAUUUAUUACUUCAGUUCUGCCUCUCUUGUUUGGAUAAGAAUGUCUCCAGUCCUCCGGUUAUAAGUUAAUUUGUAUUCUAAGACCAAAAAGCUCUUGAGUACUUGGCACCUUUCUCAGUUCAAGUCCAAUUAAUCAUAGCUACCGAAAUGCAGCCAUUUGCUGUCUUAGUAAAAGUUCAUUGAUCCCGUGCCUCACUGGUUAUUGCAUAUAUAUACAUUAUAAAGCAAAGGACAGGACCUGUUCUGGUACAUUCUGGGUUCGCCCAGUCUAUCACAGAGUGAAGAUUCAAGGCAAUUUGUGUUUUUGUUUACGAGCAAGUUUUCUAAAACAUUACAUUUUAGAAAUUAACCUGCUAUGAAAUUAACAUUUUGAGUAGCGUACAGUUCUAUGAGUUUUGUGGGUUUUUUUGGUGUUUUGCUUUUUGGGGCCACCUCUGCAGCAUAUGGAAGUUCCCAGGAGUUGAAUCGGAAUUACAGCUGCCGGCCUAUACCACGGCCACAGCAACGAGGAAUCUGAGCCGCAUCUUCGACCUACACCACAGCUCAUGGCAAUGCUGGAUCCCCCACCCACUGAGUGAGGCCAGGGAUCGAACCCGCUUCCUCAUAGAUACUAGAUGGGUUCCCAACCACUGAGCCACAAUGGGAACUGCGAGUUUUUUUUUUUUUUUUUAAAGAACAUUUUAUUUGAAAGUUGUUUUAGACUUACGGAAGAGUAACCAAAGUAGUUCAGAGUUCCCACGUACCUUUCCGCAGCUUUCUCUAACUUUACAACUUAAAGGUAGUAAAUUUAUCAAAGCCAAGAAAUUAACAUUGGUGCAAUACUGUUAUCUUAACUACUGACUUCAAUUAGAUUUUUAUCAGUUUUUCUACUAAUGUCCUUUAAUUCCAGGAUCCAGCCCAGGGUACAGGAAGUAGGUCAAGUUAAUGCUGUAGGGGCGCUGUGAGAAUUAGAGGUUUAAGGGGCUGGGUGGCUCUUGGGAGAUGUCCUGAUUUGGGGGUGAUGAGGGCUGGUCCUGUGAUUUUUUUUUUUUUUUUUUUCUUUUUGGUCUGUGCCCGAGGUAUGUGGAAGUUCCCAGGCCAGCAACUGAACUUGAGCCAGAGCAGCAACCCGAGCCACUGCAGUGACAACACCAGAUCCUUAAUCUGUGGCACCAUAGGGGAACUCAGAGUGUUCCUUUGAGCUGAAUUUGGCUCAUGUGAUGUUGGAAUGUGAUUUGAAUUAGUUGCCAACAUUUAAUGAUUAGGAGGUCUUCCAGAAAAAUCUGUAGUUUUGGCGUCUUUUUAAGAAACUGGUAGCUCCUGCUGCCCUGGGUCUGUUCACUGACUGGGACAAUUGUGUGGCCCUGAGAGGUGGCCAUCCCUUCUUUAUGAGCAAGUGGAUUCCAGUUGAUUUCAGAUCUUGCCCCUCCUGACACUGCACUGGACUAAACCAGCCCAUCAUGCUAUAGGUGAAGGUGCCCCAGGAGACGAGUGUUGCACUUUGCCUGUCCUUUCUUGCUUUCCGUGCUGCUCUUGGCCUUAGAGCUUGAAGCGUAUGGUUUUGGCACCUCUGGAGGGAGCAAAGAUGGUGGCAGAAAUGUGGUGCAGCAUAAAUGCUGAGUGUGCCUACGUGCAUCUUCACUUGUGUCUGAAAAUACCUGAGUUUGCAAACGGGCACUGCCCACCUCCCUCAAAAUCUGGUUGGCAGCCACUUUCUGUUUAGCCGUACAUGCUUAUCUGAAAUAUUGUAGGAGUUGCAAUGAGGGAAAACUCAGGUGAUAAACAUGAAAAUCCAACUUUGUGACUUCUCCUGAGAGGUCAGGUGACCAGGCAAUGCUACCCACCCCCCACCCCUCACACCGUGGUCUCCUGGCCUGGAAUCUAGGGUUCCCCUCAGCCGAGAAUGGGCUCAGCUGGUCCCUGCAUUCCAUUUGUGGGACCCUGUGGGCAGUGUUGGCCUUAGGUUGGAAACUGGGGACGCUCUAGUAGUUUUCCUUAAAAAUUUUAUUUAUUUUCUUUUUAGGAUUGCACCAAGUUCCCAGGCUAGGGGUUGAAUUAGAGCUUUAGCUGCCAGCCUCCGCAACAGCCCCAGCAACACCAGAUCUGAGCCUGUGUCUGUGACCUACACCGAAGCUCAUGGCAACGCCAGAUCCUUAACCCAGUGAGCAAGGCCAGGGAUCGAACUUGAAUCCUUACAGAUACUAGUCGAGUUCAUGACUGCUGGGCCUCAACGGAAACGCCUCUAGUAAGCAGUUUUCUUUCCGUGUUUCUUGACGUAAGUUAUUCUUGACCAGGAGUUAUUUCAGUAACUCCUCCAAGUUGCUGAGGACAAAGGGAAUUUGAGAGAGGGACUUUGUGGUGGUAUCAGAGCUUAGGCAUGCUGAAAGUUGCUUAUCUCAUUUUGUCUUCUGUCUCCUCCUCCUGGACACACUGUCAGUUCCUUCCCUUUGGGUGACCUAAGGUUUGCUGAUGCUAUCAGCACAGAGUUCUGCUCAGGAGUAUUUUUGUUAGAACAGCUUGAAGCACAGCGUUUAAAGACCGGAGUGGAAGUGGCAGUGGUGGAAUUUCAGGCAGUGUCUGGGUGGGGUCCCUGUAACCUCAUCCCAGGCACGUAUACAUACAGAUGCAAGAGAGAGUUCUCUCUUCCGGUCAUCAGAGAAACAUGAGGCUAAUGGGUGAAGGGGUUUUGCACGUAUGUGUCACUCUCAGGGUGUGUGUCUGUGUGGCCCAGCUCUGUGGCUGUGAGUUGAUAUGGAGCUGCCAAGCCCUUGGCAUGUGACAGUUUGAACUGAGUUGUUCUGUGAAUGUAAAAUACAUACUGGAUUUCAGACUAUGAAAGAAAGAAGGUGAAAUGUCUCGGUAAUGAUUUUUCUAUGGAUUACAUGUUUGAAGGAUAACUAUUUUGGAUUGUUUGGUUAAAUAGUUAAUUUCCUCCCUCUUUGUUUUUACUUUGAAAAAUGUGGCUGCAAGAAACGGUCAACUUGCAGGAGUUCCCACUGUGGCAAAGAGGGUUAAGAACCUGACUGCAGUGGCUCAGGUCACUGUGGAGGUGAGGGUUCCACCCCGUCUGGCGCAGUGGGUUAAGGGAUCUGGUGUUGCUGCAGCUAGGGCAGGGGUUUAAUCCCUGGCUGGGAAUUGAUGCUCUGGGUGAGUUCCCAUCAUGGCUUAGUGGUUAACGAACCUGACUAGGAACCAUGAGGUUGCGGGUUCGAUCCCUGCCCUUGCUCAGUGGGUUAAGGAUCCAGUGUUGCUGUGAGCUGUGGUGUAGGUCUCAGACUUGGCUCGGAUCCGGAGUUGCUGUGGCUGUGGCCGGUGGCUACAGUUAUGAUUGGACCCCAGCCUGGGAACUUCCAUAUGCCGCAGGCG